CAAAAAACGCAGUCGCCAACCGGCUGUCCACUCAGGAGGACCUCAAGCGGACACUAAAGACGCCUUCGAGACCAUGGCAGAAUCACGUAAACGUCAGCAUGAUGAACAAGAAGACGAGGUACCGCUAUAUUACCAAUUGGAAGUGCUUUUUGGUGACGCCGUCUAUAUUCCCAGGGACAAACUACAGAGUUUAUUGGUUCGAGCCACGAGAACCGUGCCUAUGACAUUAAUGAAACCAUGGCGACACUUGCGGAGUCUGAUCGAGACGUGGGAGAAGUAUCAAAUUCAAACGUGCCCGAACCAGGAUCAGGGUCUAGAGGAGAUGGAAAAAGUUUACAAUCCCCUCCACGCU
Rhipicephalus microplus (southern cattle tick) is the source of this 352-nucleotide long non-coding RNA. NCBI's taxonomy places the organism in Eukaryota, Metazoa, Arthropoda, Arachnida, Ixodida, Ixodidae. The record is from RefSeq and is a predicted model, not a curated record.